This 253-nucleotide ribosomal RNA is filed under the name uncultured bacterium. RNAcentral's name for it is "partial 16S ribosomal RNA". It matches the Rfam family "Bacterial small subunit ribosomal RNA", at positions 524 to 776 of the family's 1533-position model. The record is from RNAcentral.
UACGUAGGUGGCAAGCGUUGUCCGGAUUUAUUGGGUUUAAAGGGUGCGUAGGCGGUUCCAUAAGUCAGUGGUGAAAUACGGCAGCUCAACUGUCGAGGUGCCAUUGAUACUGCGGAACUUGAGUACUGAUGAGGUAGGCGGAAUUGACGGUGUAGCGGUGAAAUGUUUAGAUAUCGUCAAGAACACCGAUAGCGAAGGCAGCUUACCAAGCAGUAACUGACGCUGAGGCACGAAAGUGCGGGGAUCAAACAGG